CGGGACACGUGGUAUCCUGUCUGAAUAUGGGGGGACCAUCCUCCAAGGCUAAAUACUCCUGACUGACCGAUAGUGAACCAGUACCGUGAGGGAAAGGCGAAAAGAACCCCGGCGAGGGGAGUGAAAAAGAACCUGAAACCGUGUACGUACAAGCAGUGGGAGCACGCUUAGGCGUGUGACUGCGUACCUUUUGUAUAAUGGGUCAGCGACUUAUAUUCUGUAGCAAGGUUAACCGAAUAGGGGAGCCGAAGGGAAACCGAGUCUUAACUGGGCGUUAAGUUGCAGGGUAUAGACCCGAAACCCGGUGAUCUAGCCAUGGGCAGGUUGAAGGUUGGGUAACACUAACUGGAGGACCGAACCGACUAAUGUUGAAAAAUUAGCGGAUGACUUGUGGCUGGGGGUGAAAGGCCAAUCAAACCGGGAGAUAGCUGGUUCUCCCCGAAAGCUAUUUAGGUAGCGCCUCGUGAAUUCAUCUCCGGGGGUAGAGCACUGUUUCGGCAAGGGGGUCAUCCCGACUUACCAACCCGAUGCAAACUGCGAAUACCGGAGAAUGUUAUCACGGGAGACACACGGCGGGUGCUAACGUCCGUCGUGAAGAGGGAAACAACCCAGACCGCCAGCUAAGGUCCCAAAGUCAUGGUUAAGUGGGAAACGAUGUGGGAAGGCCCAGACAGCCAGGAUGUUGGCUUAGAAGCAGCCAUCAUUUAAAGAAAGCGUAAUAGCUCACUGGUCGAGUCGGCCUGCGCGGAAGAUGUAACGGGGCUAAACCAUGCACCGAAGCUGCGGCAGCGACGCUUAUGCGUUGUUGGGUAGGGGAGCGUUCUGUAAGCCUGCGAAGGUGUGCUGUGAGGCAUGCUGGAGGUAUCAGAAGUGCGAAUGCUGACAUAAGUAACGAUAAAGCGGGUGAAAAGCCCGCUCGCCGGAAGACCAAGGGUUCCUGUCCAACGUUAAUCGGGGCAGGGUGAGUCGACCCCUAAGGCGAGGCCGAAAGGCGUAGUCGAUGGGAAACAGGUUAAUAUUCCUGUACUUGGUGUUACUGCGAAGGGGGGACGGAGAAGGCUAUGUUGGCCGGGCGACGGUUGUCCCGGUUUAAGCGUGUAGGCUGGUUUUCCAGGCAAAUCCGGAAAAUCAAGGCUGAGGCGUGAUGACGAGGCACUACGGUGCUGAAGCAACAAAUGCCCUGCUUCCAGGAAAAGCCUCUAAGCAUCAGGUAACAUCAAAUCGUACCCCAAACCGACACAGGUGGUCAGGUAGAGAAUACCAAGGCGCUUGAGAGAACUCGGGUGAAGGAACUAGGCAAAAUGGUGCCGUAACUUCGGGAGAAGGCACGCUGAUAUGUAGGUGAAGUCCCUCGCGGAUGGAGCUGAAAUCAGUCGAAGAUACCAGCUGGCUGCAACUGUUUAUUAAAAACACAGCACUGUGCAAACACGAAAGUGGACGUAUACGGUGUGACGCCUGCCCGGUGCCGGAAGGUUAAUUGAUGGGGUCAGCGCAAGCGAAGCUCUUGAUCGAAGCCCCGGUAAACGGCGGCCGUAACUAUAACGGUCCUAAGGUAGCGAAAUUCCUUGUCGGGUAAGUUCCGACCUGCACGAAUGGCGUAAUGAUGGCCAGGCUGUCUCCACCCGAGACUCAGUGAAAUUGAACUCGCUGUGAAGAUGCAGUGUACCCGCGGCAAGACGGAAAGACCCCGUGAACCUUUACUAUAGCUUGACACUGAACAUUGAGCCUUGAUGUGUAGGAUAGGUGGGAGGCUUUGAAGUGUGGACGCCAGUCUGCAUGGAGCCGACCUUGAAAUACCACCCUUUAAUGUUUGAUGUUCUAACGUUGACCCGUAAUCCGGGUUGCGGACAGUGUCUGGUGGGUAGUUUGACUGGGGCGGUCUCCUCCUAAAGAGUAACGGAGGAGCACGAAGGUUGGCUAAUCCUGGUCGGACAUCAGGAGGUUAGUGCAAUGGCAUAAGCCAGCUUGACUGCGAGCGUGACGGCGCGAGCAGGUGCGAAAGCAGGUCAUAGUGAUCCGGUGGUUCUGAAUGGAAGGGCCAUCGCUCAACGGAUAAAAGGUACUCCGGGGAUAACAGGCUGAUACCGCCCAAGAGUUCAUAUCGACGGCGGUGUUUGGCACCUCGAUGUCGGCUCAUCACAUCCUGGGGCUGAAGUAGGUCCCAAGGGUAUGGCUGUUCGCCAUUUAAAGUGGUACGCGAGCUGGGUUUAGAACGUCGUGAGACAGUUCGGUCCCUA
Molecule: ribosomal RNA, 2237 nt
Filed under: Escherichia coli
Lineage: Bacteria; Pseudomonadati; Pseudomonadota; Gammaproteobacteria; Enterobacterales; Enterobacteriaceae
Description: partial 23S ribosomal RNA
Rfam family: Bacterial large subunit ribosomal RNA
Source: RNAcentral